Molecule: ribosomal RNA, 254 nt
Filed under: uncultured bacterium
Lineage: Bacteria
Description: partial 16S ribosomal RNA
Rfam family: Bacterial small subunit ribosomal RNA
Source: RNAcentral
CACGUAGGGGGCGAGCGUUGUCCGGAUUUAUUGGGCGUAAAGAGCUCGUAGGCGGCUCAGUAAGUCAGGUGUGAAAACUCCAGGCUCAACCUGGAGACGCCACCUGAUACUGCUGUGGCUAGAGUCCGGUAGGGGAGCAUGGAAUUCCUGGUGUAGCGGUGAAAUGCGCAGAUAUCAGGAGGAACACCGAUGGCGAAGGCAGCUCGCUGGGACGGUACUGACGCUGAGGCGCGAAAGCGUGGGGAGCAAACAGG